UGAGCAACCUGCCCUUGACUCUGGAAUAACAGCUGGAAACAGCUGCUAAUACCGGAUACGACCUCCGAUGGCAUCAUCUGGAGGUGGAAAGCUCCGACGGUCAAGGAUGGGCUCGCGGCCUAUCAGCUUGUUGGUGAGGUAACGGCUCACCAAGGCUUCGACGGGUAGCCGGCCUGAGAGGGCGACCGGCCACACUGGGACUGAGACACGGCUCAGAUCCGUACGGGG
This 228-nucleotide ribosomal RNA is filed under the name uncultured bacterium. Its description in RNAcentral is "partial 16S ribosomal RNA". It matches the Rfam family "Bacterial small subunit ribosomal RNA", at positions 118 to 346 of the family's 1533-position model. The record is from RNAcentral.